This 216-nucleotide long non-coding RNA is filed under the name Salmo trutta (river trout). Its description in RNAcentral is "lncRNA (ENSSTUG00000029079.1)". The record is from RNAcentral. Lineage: Eukaryota; Metazoa; Chordata; Actinopteri; Salmoniformes; Salmonidae.
UUUUUCACAGAGAACUGGAGGGGAACAGGAUAUCAUCUUUGUGGGUUUCCAGCUUUCAAAACUGCACCACUCUGACAGUAUUGGCUCUUCGAAAAAACAGAGUACAUACCAUUGAGGAGGGAAUAUUUUUUGGAAUGCCAAACCUGAUAGACCUGGACAUAUCUGUAAACAAAUUUGAGGAGUUCUCCCCAACUAUGUUUAGAAAUCUUCUAAACC